UACGUAGGGCGCAAGCGUUGUCCGGAAUUAUUGGGCGUAAAGAGCUCGUAGGCGGCUUGUUACGUCGGGUGUGAAAGCCCGGGGCUUAACCCCGGGUCUGCAUUCGAUACGGGCUAGCUAGAGUGUGGUAGGGGAGAUCGGAAUUCCUGGUGUAGCGGUGAAAUGCGCAGAUAUCAGGAGGAACACCGGUGGCGAAGGCGGAUCUCUGGGCCAUUACUGACGCUGAGGCGCGAAAGCGUGGGGAGCGAACAGG
Molecule: ribosomal RNA, 253 nt
Filed under: uncultured bacterium
Lineage: Bacteria
Description: partial 16S ribosomal RNA
Rfam family: Bacterial small subunit ribosomal RNA
Source: RNAcentral